AUGGUGAUGGAUGACAACAAACUCCGGGUGCUCCAGAUCCCUCCGCCUAUCCACCCCGACGAUCCGGAUUCUCCUCUCCCGGAGACCAUCCUCAUCGACUCGUUCGGCUACCUCAGCGACCGCACCAACGCCACCACCGCCAGGGGCCGCAGGAGCAGGACCAAGAAGAAGGGCAAGCGCAUCCUGGUCACCUUCUGGCCGGUUGCCCCGCCGCGCGUCUCCUGCUUCACUGUCCACUGCCCAGAUCUGAAGCCCGAUGCAUUCGCUGAAAUCCCCAAGAUCUCCUAUACGGAGGACGACCUCGUCCUGCUCAGCAUCACCAUCUGCCCCGAGCGCCUGCACGUGUACGGCAAGAACAUCCGCUACUUCGUCUACCAGGCCGGCACCAAGAAGACGCCGCCGUCGGUCAAGCUCGUCCACUGUCCCCCCUACUUCAGGAUCUACGACCAAGAGGUUGCCUUACUGCACUGCCACCACCAAGAGAUGUUCUUCAUCGCCGUGCUCCGCUGGGCCUCCAUUGCUCAGGAUUACACCGACGGGCACUUUAAUCUCCACCUGUACAACUCCAAGACAAAGGCAUGGAACAUCAAGUUGAUGCUUCUUGAUUCGCCCAAGGAUUUUGAGUUCCGCUCUUUCAACAAGGGGAUCACCAUUGGAGGGGAGCUUGGUUCAGUGGGUUGGGUCGACCUUAGGGGGGGCAUUAUCAUCUGUGACCUUCUCCUUGACAACCAGAGUCUUCGCUACAUCCCACUACCUUCGCCGCUGUCGCCCGAUCCAGUCAGGGGUUAUAUGUUGUAUGUUCGGAACGUCACUGUUCUCCAAGGUUACAUCAAGUAUUUUGAGAUGCACAGUAACGUCAGACCGGGCUCAGACACUGGAAGCUCCCUGAUAUGUGAAGGUUGGAUGGCUGCAACAAAAAAAAUAAAAAUUUCAAGCAUUGGCUCUACUUCUGGUAGUAGCAACUGGGAGGAGGACUGUACUAUCAGAUGCUCAGAUGAUGUACCAUUGGAUAGCCCUGUGUAUGCCCAAAUGCUACCUAAUCCGCAGGAGGGAGAUGAUGCCAAGCCAAGCCUGAAGAAAAUUCGUGUAGGCUAUCCUGCUCUUAGCUUGCAUGACGGUGAUGUUGUUUACCUUAUGCACAUGCCUGAUCCCCGUGGGGAUAAGGCCUGUGUGAUUGCUCUUGAUAUGAGGAACAAGGCUGUAAAAGGCGUGGCUAAUUUUGGCGGCUCUGGAAGACCCCUGGGUCAUUCUUACACCUACUUUCCGAGUGGGAUCUCCAAGCAUCUGGGCAUUUUCUCAUCAACCAGCAAAUAUCGAAUGCUGCUGAAACAAGUAGGGAUGGCAAGUAAGAAGCUUGUUACCGAAAUUUGA
This 1371-nucleotide ribosomal RNA is filed under the name Triticum aestivum (bread wheat). Its description in RNAcentral is "partial small subunit ribosomal RNA". Lineage: Eukaryota; Viridiplantae; Streptophyta; Magnoliopsida; Poales; Poaceae. The record is from RNAcentral.